This 465-nucleotide ribosomal RNA is filed under the name Vreelandella stevensii. Its description in RNAcentral is "partial 16S ribosomal RNA". It matches the Rfam family "Bacterial small subunit ribosomal RNA", at positions 338 to 795 of the family's 1533-position model. Lineage: Bacteria; Pseudomonadati; Pseudomonadota; Gammaproteobacteria; Oceanospirillales; Halomonadaceae. The record is from RNAcentral.
CCUACGGGUGGCAGCAGUGGGGAAUAUUGGACAAUGGGGGCAACCCUGAUCCAGCCAUGCCGCGUGUGUGAAGAAGGCCCUCGGGUUGUAAAGCACUUUCAGUGAGGAAGAACGCCUGGUGGUUAAUACCCAUCAGGAAAGACAUCACUCACAGAAGAAGCACCGGCUAACUCCGUGCCAGCAGCCGCGGUAAUACGGAGGGUGCGAGCGUUAAUCGGAAUUACUGGGCGUAAAGCGCGCGUAGGUGGCUUGAUAAGCCGGUUGUGAAAGCCCCGGGCUCAACCUGGGAACGGCAUCCGGAACUGUCCAGCUAGAGUGCAGGAGAGGAAGGUAGAAUUCCCGGUGUAGCGGUGAAAUGCGUAGAGAUCGGGAGGAAUACCAGUGGCGAAGGCGGCCUUCUGGACUGACACUGACACUGAGGUGCGAAAGCGUGGGUAGCAAACAGGAUUAGAUACCCUUGUAGUC